CAGUGGUGAUUGCGACAAGGCCACACCCGUUCCCAUCCCGAACACGACCUGUCUGAUACAAAGAUGUAAGCUUGCCUGCGCCGAUGGUACUUCACGGGUAGCUGUGUGGAAGAGUGGGGCGCCGCCGGAAUU
This 132-nucleotide ribosomal RNA is filed under the name Desulfoluna spongiiphila. The record is from RNAcentral. Lineage: Bacteria; Pseudomonadati; Thermodesulfobacteriota; Desulfobacteria; Desulfobacterales; Desulfolunaceae.